Molecule: long non-coding RNA, 257 nt
Filed under: Rattus norvegicus (Norway rat)
Lineage: Eukaryota; Metazoa; Chordata; Mammalia; Rodentia; Muridae
Description: long non-coding RNA NONRATT026417
Source: RNAcentral
GUCAUAGUGCAGGCUCCACUGGGUGCUUGAGUGAGGCCCCCCGCGUCUCUAUUUCACGCUGUGACUUGCUGCGGGGAGCUGUGAGCCGAGCGGGGAGAGCUCGGAAUCCGCACCAUGUCUUUCAGCUGUUGGCUCCUAUGGAAAUCAAAAUUAAACGAAAUACCUUCUUCAACGAGGAAGAACCAGGGCAGUCACUAUCUGCACCACAUAAAACUCUAACAGCAUAAACAAGUCAAUGUCAAAUUAUUUGAGACUCA